GUAAGGAAUAUUGGGCAAUGGACGCAAGUCUGACCCAGCCAUGCCGCGUGCAGGAUGAAUGUCCUAUGGAUUGUAAACUGCUUUUGUACGGGAAAAAUUCCCUGGUCGUGAACCGGGGUUGAUGGUACCGUGCGAAUAAGCAUCGGCUAACUCCGUGCCAGCAGCCGCGGUAAUACGGAGGAUGCAAGCGUUAUCCGGAUUCAUUGGGUUUAAAGGGUGCGCAGGCGGAGUGAUAAGUCAGAGGUGAAAGCCCCCAGCUCAACUGGGGAACUGCCUUUGAUACUGUCAUUCUUGAGUACAGUCGAAGUUGGCGGAAUGUGUCAUGUAGCGGUGAAAUGCUUAGAUAUGACACAGAACACCGAUAGCGAAGGCAGCUGGCUAGACUGUAACUGACGCUCAUGCACGAAAGCGUGGGGAUCAAACAGGAUUAGAUACCCCUGUAGUCC
RNAcentral lists this ribosomal RNA (446 nucleotides) under uncultured bacterium. RNAcentral's name for it is "bacterial SSU rRNA". It matches the Rfam family "Bacterial small subunit ribosomal RNA", at positions 354 to 796 of the family's 1533-position model. The record is from RNAcentral.